CUAAGGAACCUCCAUGCUGCUUUCCAGAGUGGUUUUACCCAUUAGUGCAUUUUGUUUUCUGCUGCUGCAUAAUAAAUUAUCAAAAACUGCUGCUUGAAACAGCACACACUUGUUAACUUGAAAUGUCUGUGGGUCUAAAGUGAGGACAGUUUGGCUGGGUCAUCUGUUCAGGAUCUCACAGGCUGCAGAAAAAUCUUUUUGCCAAGGUUUGGUAUCUUCAGAGCUUGACUUUAGAGGAUCUGUUCCAAGCUCCAGGGUUGUACAGUUCAAUCCUUAUAGCUGUAGGAUUGAUGUCAAGCUGUUCCUUCAAAAACAGCACCAGAGAGAGACUCACAAGAAGGGCACUAUGAGGUCAUAAUUUACAUACAGUCCCAAGGACCCAUCACCUUUGUUGCAUUCCAUUAGCUGGGAGCAAAUCACAGGUCCUGUCCUAGCUGGAGGAAGAAGGGAAUUCCACAAGUAUGGGGGGCAGGGAUCAUGGAGGCCUCCUUACACCAUAAUUGCAAUUCCCUUUUCAAUCUAAAAUUUGGAUAUAUUUUAUUAUCAGUUAGUUUAAAAUAUUUUCUACUUAGAUCUUCAGGUUAUUUAGAAGUAUGUUAAUCUUCAAAAUUGUGUGUCUUUCAGGCCAAAAACCUGUUCCCUUCAUCUUUUCUCACUACAAUGCUAAAUAAUAUGCGUAUUCUAAGUGGCACAGUUUCCCAAGGACAAUGUAAAAUUGCACAGGCCACAUGUGUGAGGUCAUUUUCCAUCCCUGGUGAAGGAGGAGGAAGAAGAAACAGCAGCUUUUGACAUGAACAAGAUUGUUUCUGAAACCCCUGUGAUGUUAUUUGCCUUGUUUUUCUAGAAAUGAGAUAAUUUGCUUAACAUAGGUAGGAAGUAUCCCUUCUUUCUCAUAUUCAAGGAUUAGUUAAGUAUUGGCGUUUGUUCCAUAGCUUAGUUUCAGCUUGGUUGUUUUUGUCAGUUUUUUCAGAGUUGUUUUCAGAACCCCAAACACUGGCCUUCCCUUCUCAAGGGGCCCUACAAGGUCUGCUUCUCAACCUCCCUGCCAGAGUGCUUUAUGCUCGCCCCCCCACACACACUUUUUUCUGCAUCUUUAGAAACAAAAGAUGGAAAUAGCAUAGUAACUCAACUGCCCUAUUUUUACUUAUAUAGAGUAUUACAUCAAACUGCUGCAGAAUGCACAUUUAUUUCAAAUGCAGAUGUAUUGCCACUUUCCAAAAUAAACAUUCUGGGGGCCAUAAAGAAUCUCAAAACAUUUUUUUUUUCCCUAAUGGAACUGGGAAUUGAACCCAAGACCUCAUGCAUGCUAGCC
This 1312-nucleotide long non-coding RNA is filed under the name Marmota monax (woodchuck). Lineage: Eukaryota; Metazoa; Chordata; Mammalia; Rodentia; Sciuridae. The record is from RNAcentral.